GAUGAAGAACGUAGCGAAAUGCGAUAAGUAGUGUGAAUUGCAGAAUUCAGUGAAUCAUCGAAUCUUUGAACGCACAUUGCGCCCCAUGGUAUUCCGUGGGGCAUGCCUGUUCGAGCGUCAUUUACCCCCUCAAGCUCCGCUUGGUGUUGGGCGUCUGUCCCGCUUCGCGCGCGGACUCGCCCCAAAGGUAUUGGCAGCGGUCGUGCCAGCUUCUCGCGCAGCACAUUGCGCUUCUCGAGGCACCGGUGGGCCCGCGUCCAUCAAGCUCACCUCCCCAGUUUGACCUCGGAUCAGGUAGGGAUACCCGCUGAACUUAAGCAUAUCAAUAAGCGGAGGA
RNAcentral lists this unclassified non-coding RNA (337 nucleotides) under soil metagenome. RNAcentral's name for it is "partial contains 5.8S ribosomal RNA, internal transcribed spacer 2, and large subunit ribosomal RNA". The stretch from base 1 to 120 matches the Rfam family "5.8S ribosomal RNA", at positions 35 to 154 of the family's 154-position model. The record is from RNAcentral.